UUGACCUCAAACAGGUAGGACCACCCGGU
Molecule: ribosomal RNA, 29 nt
Filed under: Beauveria bassiana
Lineage: Eukaryota; Fungi; Ascomycota; Sordariomycetes; Hypocreales; Cordycipitaceae
Description: partial 28S ribosomal RNA
Source: RNAcentral